Molecule: long non-coding RNA, 849 nt
Organism: Zingiber officinale
Lineage: Eukaryota; Viridiplantae; Streptophyta; Magnoliopsida; Zingiberales; Zingiberaceae
Exons: 2
Source: RefSeq, a predicted model, not a curated record
UUAUUUGUCUUUCGCCGAAAGCACUUCACAACAUCCUCCCGACACAAUCCUUAGCAUUUUUUCCCCGAUUCAAGCCUUCACAUUUUACCCAACGGUCAGCCUUCUCGUUUUUCCUCGAUGCACAGCUUUUGCUUUGAGACAUCUUCACUUCCAUUCCUCUCUACACUCUAGGUUUCUUCCUUCUCCCAUCCCCGUCUUUCAUUUCCUCUCUGCUACGCCAUUAGGGCUCUUCAUCUCUGUAGUGCCGUCGGCGGAUCAACCUUUGAUAGGUCAUCCUCUUUGAGGUUUCCUGUCCACGGGAAGAAGAUGCAACAUGAGCAAUUUCUACAAUUUUUUCCGCAAGCCCAAGGACACAAAGAAUAUCUGCAAGAGGAAAAAGUUGACUCCAACAAGGAAGUCUCCAUCGAUGAUAUUUUGUCUUCCAAUCCAACGAUGAAGAAGUUCACUGAGCUUUUCUUCUCUUCGUCCUCCUCCAAGAUGAAGAUCAAGUUCUCCAAGGAUGCACUUGCCAUCCGCGAGUGAGUGCUGAAGAGGGCAGAGGAGGCUCUCAUGGGCAAGUCCAAGCCUGGCGGAGGGGCGCCAUCCACGAGUGGGUGCUGAACAGGGCAGAGGAGGCUCUCAAGGGCAAGUUCAUAGGUACACUAAUUACAUUGUGCUCUAAAGGUAUGUGAUUUUUAUGAUGCAUCUGUUGGCAUGUGUUUUUUCUAAUAAUGAUUUCCUUGAACAUGUAUACUAUUCACAUGUAUUGUUCAAUAAGGCAUUAUACUAAGGCUCUGUUUACUUGGGAGAGCGGAAAGCAAAAUUAAGGAAAAGUUUUCACGGUGGAAAAGUUUCCGUCGUUUACUUCAU